CCUACGGGAGGCAGCAGUGAGGAAUAUUGGUCAAUGGACGGAAGUCUGAACCAGCCAUGCCGCGUGCAGGAAGACGGCUCUCUGAGUUUUAAACUGCUUUUGUACAAGGGUAAACCUGAAUACGUGUAUUCAGCUGAAAGUACUGUACGUAUAAGGAACGGCUAACUCCGUCCCAGCAGCGGCGGUACUACGGGGGAUCCAAGCGUUGUCCGGAUUAAUUGGGUUAAAAGGGUGCGUAGGGGAUUGAUAAGUUAGAGGUGAAAUGUCCGAGCUUAACUCGGGAACUGCAUCUAAUACUGGUGGUCUAGAGAGUAGAUGCGGUAGGCGGAAUGUAGGGUGUAGCGGUGAAAUGCUUAGAGAUCAGACAGAACACCGAUUGCGAAGGCAGCUUACCAAUCUAUAUCUGACGUUGAGGCACGAAAGCGUGGGGAGCAAACAGGAUUAGAUACCCUAGUAGUC
This 459-nucleotide ribosomal RNA is filed under the name uncultured bacterium. RNAcentral describes it as "partial 16S ribosomal RNA". It matches the Rfam family "Bacterial small subunit ribosomal RNA", at positions 338 to 795 of the family's 1533-position model. The record is from RNAcentral.